ACUGAAUAGAUACCCGGGUAGUCCACGCCGUAAACGAUGGAUGCUAGCUGUUAUCGGUAUCGACCCCGGUAGUAGCGAAAGCUAAACGCGUUAAGCAUCCCGCCUGUGGAGUACGGUCGCAAGACUAAAACAUAAAGGAAUUGACGGGGACCCGCACAAGCGGUGGAGCGUGUUGUUUAAAUUCGAUGGUAAGCGAAGAACCUUACCCAGGUUUGACAUCCUUGGAAAUUUUUCCGAAAGGAAAAAGUGCUUAUUGAACCAAGUGACAGGUGUUGCAUGGCCGUCGUCAGCUCGUGUCGUGAGAUGUUUGGUUAAGUCCAUCAACGAGCGCAACCCUUAUGUUUAGUUGAAUUUUUCUUAGACAGACUGCCCUCGGCAACAGGGAGGAAGGAGGGGAGUGAUGUCAGGUCAGUAUUACCCUUACACCU
Molecule: ribosomal RNA, 428 nt
Filed under: uncultured bacterium
Lineage: Bacteria
Description: bacterial SSU rRNA
Rfam family: Bacterial small subunit ribosomal RNA
Source: RNAcentral